This 948-nucleotide ribosomal RNA is filed under the name Cladonia furcata. RNAcentral describes it as "eukaryotic LSU rRNA". It matches the Rfam family "Eukaryotic large subunit ribosomal RNA", at positions 1 to 962 of the family's 3401-position model. Lineage: Eukaryota; Fungi; Ascomycota; Lecanoromycetes; Lecanorales; Cladoniaceae. The record is from RNAcentral.
GAUUGACCUCGGAUCAGGUAGGGAUACCCGCUGAACUUAAGCAUAUCAAUAAGCGGAGGAAAAGAAACCAACAGGGAUUGCCUCAGUAACGGCGAGUGAAGCGGCAACAGCUCAAAUUUGAAAUCUGGUCCUUUCAGGGCCCGAGUUGUAAUUUGUAGAGGAUGUUUCGGGUGCGGCGCGGGUCUAAGUCCUUUGGAACAGGGCGUCAUAGAGGGUGAGAAUCCCGUAUGUGACCCGUGAUCAAGCCCAUGUGAAACCCCUUCGACGAGUCGAGUUGUUUGGGAAUGCAGCUCAAAAUGGGUGGUAAAUUUCAUCUAAAGCUAAAUACCGGCCAGAGACCGAUAGCGCACAAGUAGAGUGAUCGAAAGAUGAAAAGCACUUUGGAAAGAGAGUCAAAAAGUACGUGAAAUUGUUGAAAGGGAAGCGCUUGCAACCAGACCUGUCCGCAGGCGAUCAACUCCCGUUCUCGGGGGUGCACUCGUCUGUGAUCAGGCCAGCAUCGGUUCGGGCGGUCGGAUAAAGGCCUUGGGAAUGUAGCUCCUUCCGGGGAGUGUUAUAGCCCUCGGUGCAAUGCGGCCAGCCCGGACCGAGGACCGCGCCUUCGGGCUAGGAUGCUGGCGUAAUGGUUGUAAGCGACCCGUCUUGAAACACGGACCAAGGAGUCUAACAUCUAUGCAAGUGUUUGGGUGUCAAACCCAUGCGCGUAAUGAAAGUGAACGGAGGUGAGAACCCUUAAGGGCGCAUCAUCGACCGAUCCAGAUGUCUUCGGAUGGAUUUGAGUAUGAGCAUAGCUGUUGGGACCCGAAAGAUGGUGAACUAUGCCUGAAUAGGGUGAAGCCAGGGGAAACCCUGGUGGAGGCUCGCAGCGGUUCUGACGUGCAAAUCGAUCGUCAAAUUUGGGUAUAGGGGCGAAAGACUAAUCGAACCAUCUAGUAGCUGGUUCCUGCC